Molecule: ribosomal RNA, 393 nt
Filed under: uncultured bacterium
Lineage: Bacteria
Description: partial 16S ribosomal RNA
Rfam family: Bacterial small subunit ribosomal RNA
Source: RNAcentral
AUACGUAGGGAGCAAGCGUUGUCCGGAAUUACUGGGCGUAAAGGGUGCGUAGGCGGCUUAUUAAGUUAUUAGUGAAAUACCCGGGCUUAACCUGGGGGGUGCUAGUAAAACUGAUAGGCUUGAGUUCGGGAGAGGAACGUGGAAUUCCUAGGGUAGCGGUGGAAUGCGUAGAUAUUGGGAGGAACACCAGCGGCGUAGGCGGCUCACUAGACAGUAUCUGACGCUAAGAUACGAAAGCGUGGGGAGCAAACAGGAUUAGAUACCCUGGUAGUCCACGCCCUAAACGAUGGAUACUUGGUGUUGGGGGGUUGCCCUCAGUGCCGGAGCUAACGCGUUAAGUAUCCCACCUGGGGACUACGGCCGCAAGGCUAAAACUCAAAUGAAUUGGCGGGG